This 404-nucleotide ribosomal RNA is filed under the name uncultured bacterium. Its description in RNAcentral is "partial 16S ribosomal RNA". It matches the Rfam family "Bacterial small subunit ribosomal RNA", at positions 30 to 526 of the family's 1533-position model. The record is from RNAcentral.
AUUGAACGCUGGCGGCAGGCCUAACACAUGCAAGUCGAGCGAGCGGCGGACGGGUGAGUAAUGCCUGGGAAUUGCCCAGUCGAGGGGGAUAACAGUUGGAAACGACUGCUAAUACCGCAUACGAUUGGAUUGCCCAGGUGGGAUUAGCCAGUUGGUGGGGUAAUGGCUCACCAAGGUGACGAUCCCUAGCUGGUCUGAGAGGUUGAUCAGCCACACUGGGACUGAGACACGGCCCAGACUCCUACGGGAGGCAGCAGUGGGGAAUAUUGCACAAUGGGGGAAACCCGGAUGCAGCAAUGCCGCGUGAGUGAAGAAGGCCUUCGGGUUGUAAAACACUUUCAGCGAGGAGGCGUUACUCGCAGAAGAAGCACCGGCUAACUACGUGCCAGCAGCCGCGGUAAUUC